Long non-coding RNA from Frieseomelitta varia, 783 nucleotides. RefSeq lists it as uncharacterized. The record is from RefSeq and is a predicted model, not a curated record. The transcript has 2 exons. NCBI's taxonomy places the organism in Eukaryota, Metazoa, Arthropoda, Insecta, Hymenoptera, Apidae.
GACUGCAUUGCUAUCGCGGAAUUGCAUUAACGUUCCACUUGUGUUGCAGUUAAGGUGUACUUAAGGCGAACUUUGUUGAGCGUGACACAAUCCUGCCGACAGUGAAAAUAGAUUAAAAAUUCCAUUACGGACAAAGAAAUCAGAAAGCAAUGGAAGACAGUUCAACGUCCAUAGACAACGUUCAAUAUGGCUGUGUUCGAGUAACGUAAAAAUGGAUCUUGAGUCAACGUAUCCUUGCGGCAUUUGUCUGGGAAAGUCUUCCCUCUUGUCCUAUUACUCGGGUCAAACAGUCGAUUACUUUUACUGCGCGGUCGUUCAUGCGAUACGACGAUUAUAGUGAUCCGUCGACCGUCAUUUACGACUAGUAAAUAUAAUUUUUUACGUGGAACAAAUAGGAUUGUCUCCCCAAGUACGACCAACAGCAAAAACUCCCUUCAUUUAACACGAGGUAAGGUUCCAUUCAAGCUGAAGAUUUCGGUUUCUGGGGUCACCGAUGAUCCUGUGGAUUUAAUACGUUGGAAAUCAUUCUCAGAGAUUUCUGAAAUACCUUUUUCAAAUACCUUUGACAAAUGAGAGGGAUUAUAUUCUGAGAAACUUCACGUUUUUGAAAUCUUUCGAUGAUUGGCUUUUAAAGUUUCAUCAAUUAUUGUCAUAGCAAGAAUAUGUUAUAUAUGCAACACCGACUGUUUCUCAUAAUUUUCGCCAAAGUGAAAUCACACAAAGUUUGUCACGUAUAAAAAAAAAAAAAGAAACAAUCAUUAAGUAUGAAAUUGUAGAAACUAA